Molecule: unclassified non-coding RNA, 373 nt
Filed under: Melitaea cinxia (Glanville fritillary)
Lineage: Eukaryota; Metazoa; Arthropoda; Insecta; Lepidoptera; Nymphalidae
Description: misc RNA ENSMCXG00005017858.1
Source: RNAcentral
AUUUAACAAAGCAUUUUUGAAGGUUCUCUUAAUAUCUUGACGCUGCUAAGUCACAAUAUCGAUUUUUUUCUUGUUCCUAUAAUUUUUGCAAUAUUGUUUCAGUCGAACCUGAGUUCAUUAUUUCAAGUCGAGGAAAUCAAAUGAUAAAAAUAGGUCCUAUAUUCACAACAACGAAGUCAGGAAAAACAGCAUUAGUCCUUCAAGGCUUUCGAUUCAACCAGCACAGUAAUUCAAGAGAAAAUCACGGUUACUUUGUGUGCGUCAAAUGGGGGUUUGGCUGUCGCGCGUCUGUUAGGACAUACAAACAAGAAAUACUCAGCGUGAAGAAUCAUCACAAUCAUAUAUAAUAUUAAUUAUUAAUUAAAUAUAUAUU